GGUGUCGUGGUGUAGUUGGUUAUCACGUAUGUCUAACACACUGAAAGUCUAUGGUUCGAGUUUGGACGACGCUA
RNAcentral lists this transfer RNA (74 nucleotides) under Zingiber officinale. RNAcentral's name for it is "tRNA-Val". The record is from RNAcentral. Lineage: Eukaryota; Viridiplantae; Streptophyta; Magnoliopsida; Zingiberales; Zingiberaceae.